This 4723-nucleotide long non-coding RNA is filed under the name Homo sapiens (human). RNAcentral's name for it is "HSALNT0343544". The record is from RNAcentral. Lineage: Eukaryota; Metazoa; Chordata; Mammalia; Primates; Hominidae.
AAAAAAAAAAAAAAAAAACAACAAAGAAAGGCCCCAGGCUAUGGCAGGGUGGACCCAAGACUGUUACUUGCUGUAUGUGGACACCUAAAGGCCCCCAGAACCAUCCAUCCUCAUCAUAGAAACUGGACGUUCUGAUCUUACACGAUUGUUUCAGCCCCCUCCCCACACAUGCCGACUGCCCUCAGUGUCUGCUUCCUUAAGCCUGCUUCCAUUUUAGCUAUUAGCGAGGGUUUUGCAUCUCGUUGCCUGCCAGCAUAUUAUGUGCAUCUCAUUAACUCUGAAGGCUCCACUACCCUUUAGGGACCAGACCUUCACAGACGUAAUGGCCUUCUGCCUGAGGUUUGAGUUUGCUGUUACUCUUUCUACCUUGGCUGAGGAAUGUCAGCCCAUGGAUUUCUAAUAAGUUCACAAAUUGCUCUAUGAAAUUGAGGUGAGAAAAAUGUCACAUUCUUUUUUUUUUUAAUUUUUAAAAAUCAAAUCUGGCUUGGAGCCCCCACUUAACCAUUCUCAGCAGAAGUCCGACUCCAGUCAUUGUGAUUUACUCACAGGCAGGGGAUGGGGGUUUUGGUGAGAGGCUUCCCCUCCUUCAGGUUGCACCAACACCCUGCUGCUGAAGCAGGUCAGGAGAGCGGGGUGAGCACUACGUCAUCAGGGCAUCCUGAUCACUCUUUCCCCGGGCUCCUUCUGCGACACAGUGAAGACUCUAAACACUGUCUGGUGCUGUCGUCAGGCCCUGCCCUCCACAGGCAGAGUCUUUUCUAGUGUGCCCAGGCUUUGUUCCGGGGACCUCCAGGCCUCAGUGUCCAUCCACCACAGGCAUCCCUCACAGUUGCCUGACACGAGGUCCUGCCCUCUGUGGGCACUGUGAGCUGGAUGUCGUGGAGCUACCGUGCAUGCUACAGCCCUUGUCUCUUCUCAGCUUUGGGGGACCCAACACUCCAGGUUGGGCAGUUCUCUCCUCUUUCCUCCUGACCCCAGAGUCUCUUUCCUUUCUGCCACUGGGAGAGCAAACCCUCCUUCCCUGGGCCUAGACCUUUCAAAACAAUAGGCUGCUGGAGGGAUUAUCUGAGUGAAGAUAAGUUUUCUCUCUCUCCUCCCCUCCCUUCUUCUCCCCUUUCUUUUCUUUUGCCCUGAAACAAGAAGCUUGUUAACCAGACUUCUGAGGAUAAAGAGAGCCUGGACUCAAGAGCAAUCCCCAGGUAACCCUAUAGGGUGGCAGUGGGAAUCUUUUAUCCUAAUUUUGGGUGGGGGGUUGGCAUCAAUUACUUUCUCAAUAACACCUGUUGUGGAUUCAUAGAAAUGGAUAGAACCUGAGAGAGCUUCCGUCCCAACCAUCUCAUUUUUCAAAGGAGCCAGAGGAGCAAAGGGAGGAGGCCCAAGAGGAGAGUGGGGAUGCCUAGUUCAUGUCUGAGCCAGGACCAGCAUCCAGGUCUCGACUGCCACUCCCAGGAUCCUGCAUUUGGGAGCCCCCAGGUGAAUCAUGCUGUUAGACUGCCAAGUGGAGGGAUAGAGGCAAGGUCCUGCCUUCAAAGACAUGAAUGUCGCAUGGAAAGAACAGGGCAACACACACGAAUCCACUAUGGAGUAUCGUAAGCCAGUGUACCACUGAAGGCUCACGGAGCAUUUCUGAGGAACUCAGUAAAACGAAUAAUGAUUGUAGACUAUCGUUAGUCAAAUACAACUUAACUGGGAAAAUGGAACUGGACCAUGGUCUUGAAAAACAAGUGGAGCUAGAGAAUCAAUGUGAGGGCUGAGAUGAAGGUAUGCAGUUUGUCAACCUCCACAGUAUAAAAAAAAAGUAAGCAAAGAAAGUGAAGCAAAAGAAAACUCAGGAGUAUGAGGAGGAUCAGCACAGUGCAGUCAUGAAAACUAGCCAAGGCAAACCUGCCUAGCAGGAGGCCUGGCACAUUUUGGAUGUUCUUGACUUCUUUUUUCUUACCUUGCUGGCAGUCAGCAGAUACAUGGGAUCUUUGAACCCUCUAGAAUUACAUGCAUACAGCAUGGGUGAUUUGGGGUGAUGGUGUAUAAGUGCAUUAUAUGAAAUCAGGUCUGAGGUUUUCAUUAGGUUCUCAAUAUAUCUUGCUCUCCCUCUUCCAGGAAUAUAGUAGGAUUGCAUUUCUGAGCCUGUAUUAGUCCGUUUUUACACAGCUGAUAAAGACAUACCCAAGACUGAGUAGUUUAUAAGGAAAAAGGGGUUUAAUGGACUCACAGUUCCGCAUGGCUUGGGAGACCUCACAAUCAUGGUGGAAGGCAAAAGGCUUGUCUUAGAUGGCAGCAGAGCUCAGUGCCCCCUCUGUCACAAUGGCCAGCAAUGUUCCAGAUAGUGACCACUCACUCAGCUAGGGUUCCAGAGGGAGGAAGAUGCAGAGCAGAGCCCCAGCUGACCUGCAGUGGACAUAUGAGGCUGGAUGUCGGGCAGCUGAAGGGUGAUCAGUCUUCUGCUGGAAUUAAAGCCUGCUGUGAUGUUAAUGAAGAACCGCCAGUGGGUUUGCUGGAAGGGGGAAAUUUGGAGACAGACACAUACACAGGGAGAUGCCGUGUGAAGACUUGAGUUCUGCUGCCACAAGCCUAGGAACCAUUAGAAGCCAGGGAAGAGGCCUGGAACAGCUCCUUCCCCAGCACCUUCAGAGGGAGCAAGCCUCUACCAACAACCUGAUUUUGAACUCCUCGCCUCCAGAACUGUGAGACAAUAUAUUUCUGUUGUUUUAAGCCACCCAGCAUGUGGUACUUGGUUACAGCAGCCCUGGCAAACAAAUACAGGUUUGUAGGACUGUAUCUUUAGAGAUGAAAAGGAGAACCUCAAGCGGAAGGAAGAGCAUGAGCUUACUGGGGUAAGAAUAUGUAUUUAUAUAUUGAGUGCAUUCAGCAGUUCGGUUCUACUGGAACCACGGUCUGUAAAGGAGCCAUGUAUGGGAAGGUUAUUGUGGCCAAGUAACAGAGGCUUUGAAUGCUGGAAAAGACAUCUAAAUUUUGGAGCCAGGCACGGUGGCUCACGCAUGUAAUCCCAGCACUUUGAGAGACCGAAGCAGGUAGAUCACGAGGUCAAGAGAUAGAGAGUAUCCUGGCCAACAUGGUGAAACCCCUUCUCUACUAAGAAUACAAAAACUAGCUGGGCGUGGUGGCAUGCACCUGUAGUCCCAGCUACUUGGGAGGCUGAGGCAGGAGAAUCGCUUGAGCCUGGGAGGUGGAGGUUGCAGUGAGCCGAGAUUGCAGCACUGCACUCCAGCCUGGUGACAGAGCAAGACUCCAUCUAAAAAAAAAAAAAGACAUCUACAUUUUUAUCUGGCAGAGUUUGCUUCUUUUGUGUUAAUAUUUACUUCUAUCUAUCUUGGCCUAAAAUGAUUUGAGGUGGCUGACCUUAGCAUGUAGAUCAUGGGGAACCAGGUUGUGUGCCAGGAAGUGACUUGAUCGGCACCUGCACAGGAAGAUGAUCUCGGAUGCAACUCCUUGGAGAAACAGAGUCAAGCAGCAGCCCAGGUGAGAAGCUUGGCCAUCAUCUGAAAACUAUGCAAAGCAGGUCUGAACUAGGAAAAGGGCAGAAGGUCAGAGAAGAGGGGAUAAAGACAAGAGGUGAAAUGAUAGGUUGACCUGGCAAAUGCUUGCAUGACACAGGAAGAGAGAGAAAGGAAUUGAAUGGAACGUGGUCAACAUUUGAGCCUGGUGACUGUGAGGACAGUGGUGCCAUUUGCAGAUUUAGGAGGAAGCAUCACGUUGGGGAGGUGGAGGAGUUGGUUUUGUGCACAUUGACUCUGAGGUGGUGGAGGGGUCCAGCAGGCAGUUGGACUUAUGAGAAAAUGCACCAUUAUUCAUCCAAACAAGAUAAUUGAAUUUUUGAAGGCAGCUAAAAAAUAAUGGUUCUACGCUACAAGAAAUGAAGUGAAAUGGUAAAACAACAACAACGACAAAAAAACAUACACACACACACACAAAAAGCAAAAAACAAAAUAACCCACCCAAUUAAUCCAUUUGGAGGUUGUUCUCAUCUAGUGAAAUGUGUGUGUGUGUGUGUGGGUGUGUGUGCACUUCAGUACUGUUAACAAAGAAAAGGUCUGGUCAGUGGCAAAAACUACUUGAAUGCUGCUUUCAGCAAAGUCAUCCCUCUCUUCAGAAGGAUGAAGUACUCUUGUUUGUCAAGGAAGGUCCCUCUCAACUAGAAAAACAGCUGCAGGAACUCCAACCCAAGGUCCCCACAGCCCACAGGGGUGAUCUCUUGCUUUGCUCUCCUGGCUGUCUCAGGAAGCAGAAGUGGAAACAUUUGAGAUGACAGCAGCUCUGCUUUCUUUGUAGAGUUAAUUAGCUGGUGAAUACUGAGCUCUCCGACAGAGAGGAAGCUCGGGUUAUCAAAGUAUUAUUAAUUGAUGCAUCUGGAGAAAGAGAGAAGCAGCCCCAUCUGGACAGAGCUUGGAUUCUUUUAGCGCCAGAAUGGAAGAAAGCCCUUUUUAAAGUACAGUAAGAAAAGCCUGGUUCAGCUAAACAGUGAGGGGUAGUAGAAUCUAACUCGCACUCAACCCUACUUAACACCUUCCAUUCUUAAGUAUUUAUUAAGCCCGGUACAAGUGACAAAUACCACAUGUGAUCUGUUGUCACCAAAACUCAUUAAGACAAAUAAUAUUGAAUAAGAUCACACAGGAUGGCUUGCCAUCAGAACUACUUACUACUUCAGGCCGGGUGCCAUGGCUCAUGCCUGUAAUCCCAGCACUUUUGGUAGCUGAGGCAGGUGGGU